ACGGGGUGCAACACGCGCUAAAACUUUGCAUUGUGCCAAAGCACGACAAGGUUAAUCCGAGUGUUUUCUGCUAAACAAAUCUUUUGUUAGUUCUAAAACCACUAUCGAAUAAGGGGUGGGCAAGUUCUGGUGUCAGCCGCCGCGGGAAAACCAGCACCUCAAGUGGUCAGGAUGAUUAUUGGGCCUAAAGCAUCCGUAGCGGCUAUGUUAGUUUUCGGUUAAAUCCAUGUGCUCAACGCAUGGGCUGUCGAGAAUACUGCAUAGCUAGGGAGUGGGAGAGGUAAACGGUACUCUGCAGGAAGGGGUAAAAUCCUUUGAUCUAUCCAUGACCACCAGUGGCGAACGCGGUCUACCAAAACACGUCCGACGGUGAGGGAUGAAAGCUGGGGGAGCAAACCGGAUUAGAUACCCGGGUAGUCCCAGCUGUAAACUAUGCAAACUCUGUGAUGCAUUGGCUUGUGGCCAGUGCAGUGCCGCAGAGAAGUCGUUAAGUUUGCCGCCUGGAAAGUACGUACGCAAGUAUGAAACUUAAAGGAAUUGGCGGGGGAGCACCACAAGGGGUGAAGCCUGCGGUUCAAUUGGAGUCAACGCCGGA
This 595-nucleotide ribosomal RNA is filed under the name uncultured Nitrosopumilales archaeon. RNAcentral's name for it is "bacterial SSU rRNA". It matches the Rfam family "Archaeal small subunit ribosomal RNA", at positions 325 to 922 of the family's 1478-position model. The record is from RNAcentral. Lineage: Archaea; Thermoproteati; Nitrososphaerota; Nitrososphaeria; Nitrosopumilales.